This is a long non-coding RNA of Salmo salar (Atlantic salmon), 2065 nucleotides long. RefSeq lists it as uncharacterized. The record is from RefSeq and is a predicted model, not a curated record. NCBI's taxonomy places the organism in Eukaryota, Metazoa, Chordata, Actinopteri, Salmoniformes, Salmonidae.
UCUGUGGCGUGUGAGUGUGAGAGAAAAGUGAGUUGUAUUUCAUAGUUGAAACCAAGACUGUUCUCUUGGCAGGUCUGCCAGUUUUGACGAGCAGAAGUUACUUUUCUUAGAAGGCUACGAUAAUUAACGCAGCAGGUUAGGAUAAUUAGGUAAAGGUAAAAAGCUAACAAUGUCCCCGACGCGACUCGAAUCUAUGUACAACCAUGAGAACAGACUUGAUUUCCACUAAUGCGAUGCUCCGGUACAAACGGUCUGUGAGGGAAGACUCAUGAGGAAAUGUGCUUUCUGUUCUACUCGAGCUAUUUUAUUUUGUAUUUUCGUGGAAAAGUCGCCUAAAUAUUUUUGAGCUGCUGCUAGAUUGUGUGGUUAGCUUGCUGGCAGCCAUUAUCCAGGGAGAUGGUCGUAACAUUUUCCCGCUGUAGGCAUGGAGGGUCUUCAAGAUGCAAUUAAACACCAAUUGCCCGAGUUGGAGACCGAGAUGGUGAGAUCUUUGUCGGAGCAUCUGAGGGCAAAUGUUGGAGUGGAGAAUAUUAACAACCUUGAAUAUGUUCACCCGGAGGACAUAAAAUACCGUUUGAUGCCAAUAUAGUGCCUGGAAUUGCUUCAGUCCUUCAACCAAAGAGAAAAUGAAGAAUGGAUAGUACACUUGUCCUCCUCCAAGCAUCAGUGACCUCCAGGAACAGUCGCCUUUCCUUUUCACCAAGUUAUGACUAUGCGACCACUUCAAUACCCUCACUGGCAUCGUGAUAGACAGUCACCUGACUUAAGCUCUCCUGAACAAGGGUAAGAGAAUUGUCAACUUUUUUAAAGGUCAAAAGAGCAAGUUGAGGAGAGGGAUCCAGUGCCUGCUGAAUGAAAUCGACGGUUACGUCAAAGGCAGUGACAAUCUAACAGCCACUGCUGCCAUUCGUUUGUUGAUGAACGAGUCUCUGUUCCUCUUGGCAGAUGUCACUUCAACUCGGGUUGAUGUCCAUUGCCAGACACACCAAGGCUGAUCAUGCUUGGAAAUACUCUAUUGGGUUCCUCAAAAUGGAUGGUGUCGAUCGAGGGGAGAGUGGUCUGUCUGUUUUAUGGACCGUGAGUCCAACUUUGCUGCUGCCCUCUGUGCUCCUCAGCACUUUCUAUGUAUUUAACAUAGAAUACCAGGAGUCGGCCUCUGCAACCUUGGAGCUGAUAGAGGAACCAAAUGCACAGCGAAAGCAGGAGUGAGCCGCAAAACCGGAAAGGUUAUUCAGAGGAAGCCAUUGCCAAUUGACCCACAUGUUAGGCGCUUUCUCGCAGACCUAAAGGAGUUUGAGUGGAAAAACUCCAACAUGGUAAGUACACACACGCACACCUGAUGAACACAAAUUUUAUUUGUCAGUUGUCAUCUGCCUUUUUACCCAGUGAGUAAUAGUAGUGAUAGCAAUCUCUCUUUCUAUUCUUUCAAUUUCCAUGUUUGUCCUAGUUGAUGUUUGUCCUAGUUGAUUUAUCAGAGCUAAGGAGGAUCGGAGUUUCAAAGGAUGGGGUGACAAUCUGCCCGCCACCGAGAUUUAUUCAAGACUUGUUAGCAUCUCUCAUUCUCUCAGAAAUCCUGCCAUGUGGUUUGGGUCAGCAAAUGAUCUGCUUGCGCCAUCCCAGAGCCUGUGUUGGCUUGCGGUAGUGUGCUUCUCUGGCUCCAGUCUAGCCAUGCUCGCUCCUCUCUAUCAUCCUUCUCUCUCAGCCCCUUUCUCUCUCUCAUUUUUCUCUCUCAAAGACAGGCAGGCAAGCAGUUAUUGUUAUAGUUUUUUGUGAAAAUGUCUCCCUUUUUAAACUGUUUUACUAUUUUUCAUUGAUCUGUUUAGAAUAUAUAUAUAUUUUUUUUUUACUUAAUCCUGUAUUUUCAAGAGUGACCUAUUCUGAUGUCUUGGUUUGUGUAUGGUGAAGUACAUUAUUGGCCAGUAUUUGUCAAUGUUCUUAUCACUGUAUCGCUGUCUCUUUCUCUCCCCUACUAUCUGGAGUUGUAAAUGUUGCUCUUUUCAAAUGUUGUUCUUUGUGGUUAAAGUGCAAUUCAUGUUAUGAAUUUGAAUAAAUAUAUUUAUUUGUA